UACGUAGGGGGCAAGCGUUGUCCGGAAUCAUUGGGCGUAAAGCGCGUGUAGGCGGCUCGGUAAGUCUGCUGUGAAAGUCCAGGGCUCAACCCUGGGAUGCCGGUGGAUACUGUCGAGCUCGAGUCCGGAAGAGGCGAGUGGAAUUCCUGGUGUAGCGGUGAAAUGCGCAGAUAUCAGGAGGAACACCAAUGGCGAAGGCAGCUCGCUGGGACGGUACUGACGCUGAGACGCGAAAGCAUGGGGAGCGAACAGG
RNAcentral lists this ribosomal RNA (253 nucleotides) under uncultured bacterium. Its description in RNAcentral is "partial 16S ribosomal RNA". It matches the Rfam family "Bacterial small subunit ribosomal RNA", at positions 524 to 776 of the family's 1533-position model. The record is from RNAcentral.